Non-coding RNA from Rattus norvegicus (Norway rat), 458 nucleotides. Lineage: Eukaryota; Metazoa; Chordata; Mammalia; Rodentia; Muridae. The record is from RefSeq and is a predicted model, not a curated record.
AGCAAAACUCUCAAAUAUCAUCCUGGGUGACGAUGUAGAUUAGACCCAUCAGAUGAAAUGAAGAAUUGAAAAACUCUCCUGGGGAUGAAAAUGAACCAGAAUUUUGCCACAGAUAUACAUACGGAGUGCGAGCCACUGUUCAGUGCAUUCCUGCUUGGCUUUAUUUCAUUCAGUGCCUGUGCUGGUACUGUGACACAAGAAGAGCCUUUUCUCAUCCAGUAAAUGCUGCCUGGCAAAUACUCUACGACUUUCUUCAUCGUGACAUUUCCAGCCCUUUACAGCACCCACAAAGAACAAAGUCACUCUGACACCAUGGUGUUCUUUUACCUGUGGUCAUCCUUUGCAUCAUCAGCUCCUGCUAUAUCCUCAUCUGGGAUCUCAAGAUGGACUGGGGUUUCUUUGAUAAGAAUGCAGGAGAUAACAAUUUCCUCUGUCAAGAAAUUUUAUACCCCCAAAAA